This is a long non-coding RNA of Ochotona princeps (American pika), 292 nucleotides long. RefSeq lists it as uncharacterized. The record is from RefSeq and is a predicted model, not a curated record. NCBI's taxonomy places the organism in Eukaryota, Metazoa, Chordata, Mammalia, Lagomorpha, Ochotonidae. The transcript has 2 exons.
UUAGCUUGCUUAAAUGUUAAAUGUUCUCUGAGAUCUGCCUAUGUUACGGUGGAUCAAUGAUGAAAAUAGCCAAAUCUGAGCAUCAGAAGACCUUGUAGUCUGACCUGAUGCAUGAUCUCCAUAAUUCUGAGAAGCAAAACUACAAAAUACCUGGAGGGAUGGGGUAUGUGUGUGUGUGUGUGUGUGAGAGUGUGUGUACAUGUGAGAAGGCGAGACUAUUCUGAGCAAUGAUGAAAUGGUUUUACAACUGACCUUUAUAACUAUGAAGUUUUCUACACUUGACCUGAGCUCA